GAACGCUGGCGGAAUGCUUUACACAUGCAAGUCGAACGGCAGCACGGACUUCGGUCUGGUGGCGAGUGGCGAACGGGUGAGUAACAUAUCGGAACGUAUCCAAUAAUGGGGGAUAACUAAUCGAAAGGUUGGCUAAUACCGCAUACGCCCUACGGGGGAAAGCAGGGGAUCUUCGGACCUUGCGUUAAUGGAGCGGCUGAUAUCUGAUUAGCUAGUUGGUGAGGUAAAGGCUCACCAAGGCGACGAUCAGUAGCUGGUCUGAGAGGACGACCAGCCACACUGGAACUGAGACACGGUCCAGACUCCUACGGGAGGCAGCAGUGGGGAAUUUUGGACAAUGGGCGCAAGCCUGAUCCAGCCAUUCCGCGUGAGUGAAGAAGGC
Molecule: ribosomal RNA, 382 nt
Filed under: uncultured bacterium
Lineage: Bacteria
Description: bacterial SSU rRNA
Rfam family: Bacterial small subunit ribosomal RNA
Source: RNAcentral